RNAcentral lists this ribosomal RNA (253 nucleotides) under uncultured bacterium. RNAcentral's name for it is "partial 16S ribosomal RNA". It matches the Rfam family "Bacterial small subunit ribosomal RNA", at positions 524 to 776 of the family's 1533-position model. The record is from RNAcentral.
UUCGUAGGGUACAAGCGUUAAUCGGAAUUACUGGGCGUAAAGCGUGCGCAGGCGGUUAUAUAAGACCGAUGUGAAAUCCCCGGGCUCAACCUGGGAACUGCAUUUGUGACUGUAUAGCUAGAGUACGGUAGAGGGGGAUGGAAUUCCGCGUGUAGCAGUGAAAUGCGUAGAUAUGCGGAGGAACACCGAUGGCGAAGGCAAUCCCCUGGACCUGUACUGACGCUCAUGCACGAGAGCGUGGGGAGCAAACAGG